Varroa destructor (honeybee mite) is the source of this 6608-nucleotide non-coding RNA. The record is from RefSeq and is a predicted model, not a curated record. NCBI's taxonomy places the organism in Eukaryota, Metazoa, Arthropoda, Arachnida, Mesostigmata, Varroidae.
GCUAAGUUUUUGCUACAUUGUAGGUCGAAUACACGGUACCCAUUAUUCUAUACCGUUACUCUAACCGGCUCUGUUGGAAGUGCACAGUAAGCCCAUAUUUAGAUCACAAGCUUGAUAUUUACAAAACGAACAUCCAAAGGUUAUGAAUCUCGUAUAUCCGUUAAUUAACUGGAUAUAGUAUAACUAUAUCCAUAUAUGGCCUAACAGUGCCUGUUAAUUUUCCUACUUGUAUACCUCAUGUGGUUUCGACUGAAGUAUUUGUAAAUACUGCUGAUGAGUUGUACCGGGCAUUGACCACCACUGAAAGAUUAAUGGAUGUCUUCGAUGUUGUGUUGCCAAUUUGUCCCCAUCACCCUUGGCAGAUCAAUAGCAUGUUUAUCAAACUAGACAUUUUAACAAAUGCAAGUUUCUGGGUACUCUAAACUUCUAGCGUGACCCUUAGAAUAAUGUAAUUAAGCUUUAUUCAUUUUGAUUAUGAAUAGGUCUACAUCCAUUAACACAACACGUACGAUAUGUGUUGAAUUAUCCGGGCUUUGGAAGGUUUUAAAAGCUAUACAAGGGUCAUAAUGACUCUCUUAAAGAUCGCUAACGUAUUUUACGCAUAAAAAUACUUACCUACACUUGCAAUAUAUAACUGCCACAAGCCAUUCCCUAGCGACGAAACAGAUGUCUUCUGUCAGAACGACAUUUUCGUUUUCACUACUAAUUCUAUAGUUUCUAGCUGGGCCUAAUAAGUCUACGUAUUGUUUACUCCCGGUGUGUGCCUAUACAAAGCUUUAUCCUAGUUGAUAGUUCCUUCUGCUUUCCGUCGAAGAUAACUGAUAAAUCUGUUUCUCUUAGAAAAUAGUUUAGACAAAAAGACCAAAUAAAUAUUAAUUCAAUUGAAGGCAAUACUUGAUGCAAACGCUAGCUAAUAUACCGAUUGAUUGAAAACAUGAGCUAAAUUGGCUUGCAUUAUCUAAAUGGCCAGACGAAAAAUAUUACAAUAGUAUGGAGAAUAAACAUACGCCACAUUCAAUUUGCAGACCUCCUUUUCUAUUCACUCAAUCAUUUAGUCUCAACAACGAUUGAAAAAACUAAGGGUACCUCUGCAGACAUCAGAAUGGGCACCCAAUUCGGCAUAGCAGGACUUAGAAGAACGUUUGUAAAUGCCGUCGAUAGGUUCCUGAUGAAGCAUUCGAAGACGUUUGCUUGCUCUUAGCACUUGCUAUAAAAAUUUCGAUGCGCUACUAGGCAAUCCUGGCCUGAAAAAGGCACAGAGUAUUAGUUUGUCAACGAGAAGCUGCAGUAGCUUAACGAACGUCUGUCCAUUACUGCGAUCAGUUGUCCUGCACCAAAAACCAAUACUAACUUAUCGAAUCAUACAUAUUGCGCACAAACUUAUGCUGUCGACAAUCGACUCGCGGCUGACGAAGAGGGAGGAAGGGGCUUGGUGUUCAAAGUAGUGUUUGUUACCUAACGAAUUGGACCAGCGAAAAUAUCGAUCGAAAUGGCGGCCCCCGGCAUUGAUGCAUCUAAGUUAGCAUUCGUCCUUCAGUAUUUUGACACAUCGUAUAUUCGUACGCCACCUGGAAUGCUCAAGGUUGCGCAGCUCGUAAAUGCGCUCAUCGGAUUCAUCUUGGCGGAGUUGGCUAGCGACAGAUUUGGGUCUACGUCAAACUGGUUCGGCUUUGUUUCCAUGACCGGAUUUUGGGUCACGCUAAUUCUUCUCGUAUUCUAUAUGCUGCAUAUUCUUGAGAAGCUGCUCUUCAUUCCUUGGCCACAAGCUGAGCUGGGUUACACUGCGCUCUGGAGUGUACUAUAUUUCAUUGCUGGAGCUGUCGCUGCUUCGAAAGGCGGGGAAGAAGGGGUCCUGGCAGCAGCGGCGUUGUUCGGCUUCGUUGGAAUGAUACUAUACGGCGGAGACGCCUUCCUAAAAUAUAAAGCUUGGAAGUCCAAUGCUGCGGCGUACGCCGCUGGUGUCCCGCCCGGAACUACAGAGAUGGGCAUGGAAGUGCCCGCAGAAGGGGGCAUUUCGCCCACGUCACCUAACGCCAACUAUCCUGCCUACUAAGUUAAGGAGACUGCGCGCCAACAGAGGCAACGACUAUAGUAACCACAUGCAACGUAGACCUAUCGCUAGCUCGCCAUACGCAACCGUGAAAUCGGGCAAAUCGAAAUUGUGCUUAUCUGCCAUGUAGCUCGCGGUGUUCGUAAAUGUUUUAUCGUUAAAGGAUCGUUGAACUCUGCGAAGGAGAUAAGGCUGUUUGGGAGCCAUCAGUGAACACGCCAAGAGAUUGAUAAGUGUUCAGAAUACAUAUUGAUAGCGGGAGAUAGCAAUAAUUACGCGUACGCUAUUCGAGGAUCCCUCUGCAUUUGUCACAAGAUGAAACGCAGUGCGCAGAUUUAUGCGCAGUGAAGAUUUGAGGCGUAACGUAUAUAUGUAUGUAUGAAACCAAAUUUGAGAAUUGUCUGGGCUGUCAUGUAAAAUGUCAUGUGUUAUAUACUGCCAAAUUGUGAUUGCGAUCAGUGUCUUUAACGGUUUACUGUAAUUAGUUAGAUUCAGAAAGAAACGCUAGUCGAACGUAAUCGAGGUAACGAUCAUAUUAAAAUUAAGCGAAACUACCAGUGAGGAAACGUCUUUGAACAAGAGCUGGCAGAUGAUACCCUAUCGUUCUCUGCAGAUCACAGACCAAUUUGUUAUUGAGCUGUUCAUUUCCAAGCAGUACACUUUAAACAUUCUGUUGUACAUUUUUUUUUAAUCAAAAACGUUUCGAGAUUAAGGUGGAAGGACGAAAAAAAAAAACGAUGCAUUAAAUCAUUAUUAUUGUUAUAAUAGUCAUUUUUCAUUACAGGACCGGUGAUCUGUAUAUAAAUCUGUCAGUAAUAUAUUCGUCAUUGAGUCAGUUCGAUUGGCGGGCGUGUGAGUGCCUGUAUGUAUGUAUGUAUGUAUGACAAAUAAUCUACGACAGCCAAAAAGAUUAUCAUUUAUUUAUUAGUAAUAAAAGGGAUGAGUAACAAACUGUGAAUAUAUACGCGUGCAUCCGGCUUUAAAAUAACAACAACGGCAGAAAUAACCGAGCUCAAGAACGUUGUUCACGCUACAUCAUACGGACAUCUAUACAAAGCACGAACUCAUAUCAAAAGGUGGCGAAAGUUGAUAUAUUGCGGGUUGCGUAUCUAUAUAUUCUAGUUUUACAUAUGUACUCCAUGGGCCAAUCUGAACUUUUGGUUCCGAUUCGAUGUGCUCUGAAGGUGGGGAGAAAGAGAGCGAGAGGGGGGAGGGGGGAGAAGGGAGAGAGAGAGGUAGGUAGCGAGAGACAAAGUGCAAACCUAGCGGUUAAAUUCAUCUCGUCUAACUACAGUCGUAUGGGUUAGUCUAUGGUUGAUUUUUGACAUAGGCCCUGCUGCGUUUCGGUCAUUGCUAUUUUGCGGAUUGCAGAUGACCUAUGAUGACCUAGAUGAUGAUGCACACAAAAUUGUCCUUAGAAGAAAGAAAACAACGGUAAAAGCUGCAAGAAUCUAGCGAUAUGCAUAGAGUUGUUAUACCAAGCCGGGGUGGCUCAGUUCGUAGAGAUAUGAUUGAAGACGACAACAUGACAAAGGGAGCGUUUAUAAAUCAAUUUACAUGUAUACAAAUGGAAAGCGUACGGAAGACGACUUUUGGGACACGGCGAUUGGCCGUACUAAACUGUGACAAAGCGAGAAAAACAGGCGGAGUUACGAGAAGAGAUUAAUAAGCCACGGAACUGCCUAGGGUUCGCUGCAUUCAGCUAGGAAAAAGUGCGGCGUCCGUACGAAGUUCGUUUACUAAGUGUCUAUAGCGGGCUUCAAUGAAUUCCAGAGCUGCACGCGAUUGCGACAUUCUGGCCUAACGGUUAUUUGGUGACUGCAUGAUAAAAGUGAAGUACAGCAAAAAUAUUACUGAAGUGAAAACGAAAUUGAAAUUAGAGGCGCGUGCGCAUAACUGUCCGAAGCACCCCAUUAAUGCAAAAGAAUAAUGUAUGUUCAACUGGAUAAAUGGGCCUUACAGACGUAAUAUAACGCACACCAUAUGGUAAUUACGGGCGAUAGCGCUCGUACUUAUACGAUAACCACCGUUCAUGUAUGCAGAAUAGAUAACUGAAGUGCAGGGAACAAUAUGAGUGGUAGGAUGCUUUUCAUCUGAAUAGUGCUACAUUGGCCUUUUAUUUGUUCCCGUACAGUUAAAAAUAGACAAGCUAUGUUUGGCUAUAAACAACCGUCACGGUUGUAUAUAUGAAAGCCUUUGAAGCUUCAUAACGCUGAAUGGCCAAGUCGAACCAAUAGGCUGCUUAAUUAAUAGACGCAAAAAGUCGCGUCACAAAAAAAGGCUUAGCGUUACGCAAUCAAUUCUAAUUAAUGCAAUGUAAAGCCUAGAAGCAAAGGCGCCAACGUUGAUUGGCCUAGCUCUAAGGUUCGAUUAUGCCUAGUGACAAUUAUAGGUUCAUUACCGAUAGCAGAUGAACGGAAGCUUCUCAACAAACGCACUCUACAGCUCGAGGGACGAAAAGCAAAGCUAAUUGUCGGAACAUUCUAUUCAGAUAAUUUGAUCGUGUGUCGUCGUUUUAUGCGGAGAGAACUGAGGAUUACACUUCAGCAAUUUUCAUUUCAUACAAAAAAAACUCUGUGGCUGAAUAUCAGCCCUCUAUUGUGUGUAUAGACCUACCUAGGAUAACAGUAUUAAUUAGCAAUACGUUCAACUGCCUUUUAUAUGUCCUACUACGGGCGGCACCGUAAGUGCAGUUAGUCCAAGUGUUUGUGAAAGCCUUAGAGCACCCCCUCUCCUUCAGGUUGUGGGGUUGGACUUCUGUACCGUAUUUUACGUAGGUCAAAUGUGGCGCCGCAUUUCAUAAUGACGUGUGUGCAAAACAUUAUGGAUCGACACAUCGAGGACAAAACACGUAAAUAAUCAUUCAGUAUAUAUAUAUAUAUUAUAACAAUUACGAGUAACAUCGAAAAAUAUGUAUCGCACUUAGAACUUAGUUUGGCAGCGAUAACGCCAACAGUGUAUUGGCCAUCAAAGAGAUACUAUCAUUUCUUGAUAUUAAUUUGAAAAAAUACACCUGUUAAUUUUAGCUAAAAUGACUCGGUAACUGAAUCUAUUAGAAAAGAGCGACGUCACACGUCUACCAGCUCUGCUGACUGCAAUAACCUGAGACCGUGCAGAAAAAACGUAAGGAUCACGCACAGAGGUACGCGAUAAUAUAAAGCUCACUAUAACUAUAGACCGACAAAUUGUGGAUAUCUAGCAACAUCUAAUUAUAUGUACGAUGUUAUUGCUCGCCGAUACUCUCCAUGUGAACAAAAAUGCACAAUGGCAAAGUCUUUCGAAAUCUAUCCAUAAAAUUGUAAUGAUAAUAAUAAGAAAACUAACCGCACGAAACAUGGCAGUACGUCGUGAUUGUAUACUAUAAUAUACUACUCGUUCUCGGUGAAGACGUGUUUGUUGCUGGAACAUUCGCGCGAUAUUUUCCAUCCAUUCCCAGCUGUUUGUCGGCCGUGAUGACGUGCCUGCCGUGAGAUAGGAACAUUAUGCCGGCCAUAUUACAAACAUUUCAUUUUCAUAGAAGUCGUUCAUUUGAUGCGAGUCGUCAAAAGCCUCCGACGGCCACUGCAAAUGUAUAACCACGGAAAAUAAGUCAACCGCUCGAUUGAGGGGGCGUUUCAUGCUUGAUAGAAAUUACCGUUGAAACAGUGUUUUGUCUUGCAGAUCGUCAUUUGCACUAACCCUAGUAGAGAAGGACUCUACCUAAUACAAGGAUUGGCCAACGGUUUAAGGCGUCAAAAAAAUACGGUACAGGGUUAAAUUACAUUGAAUUUGUCGGUACUUUAGGUAAUUUGCUGUCGAUGGUAAAGCUGCAGAUUCUAUUGGAGCUACGUAGCGCAUACAGUUAGUACAGAAGAAGUGUGGCGUACCUUUAACAGUACACGGUUGUUGUAUUUCGUUCAUUAAAUCAAUAAACUAAGAAAUCGUCCGUACGGGUUACGUUCUGACGACCGACGUUCCACGGUGCUUCAGGUUAACUUGAAGAAGACCAGACAAAAUUUUGAGAGUUCGUCACCUUGUAUUGGGACCCCCGAGCGAGCAGGACUUAUGCCCCACGAGACAACACAAUAAUCUGUCGCUUCUUCUCAAACUAGGUGCAGGCUACGUCCUUCCAGCAGGGCUAUGUUUGUGAGCGCGCUGUCUAUUUACGCUCGUAAGAACGGAAAACAAGUUGCCAGCAAGGUCCCAUAUGAAAACGAACUAUAUACAGCCUACAAAGUGGCUAGUUCACUGUGUCAGAGACAUUAAUGAAGCAUAUAGAAUUUUUAUAUGGUUCAUUGAACGUCUUCCCAUAUGAAUGACAAUUACUGUAUGUUUACGAUUUUCAACCUUAUAUAGCAUCUACAUAUUUAUAUGGUAACAACUAGGGUAAAAUAGGAUUCAUUAUCCUAAGAAACAGCCCGAUAAAAUACUAAACAGUAACAAAGCAAAAACGCCUACGGAUUGUAUAUAACAAGAAUGAAUAUAUAAUUAUGUUGUAACUGUGUAAGCAUAAUGUCGACAACAAACCUGUUGUCAUGCUACCUAAUAUACUGUGCAAAAUAAACUGCGUUAAACAUUA